Molecule: ribosomal RNA, 253 nt
Filed under: uncultured bacterium
Lineage: Bacteria
Description: partial 16S ribosomal RNA
Rfam family: Bacterial small subunit ribosomal RNA
Source: RNAcentral
UACGGGGGGGGCAAGCGUUGUUCGGAAUUAUUGGGCGUAAAGGGCGCGUAGGCGGCUUGGUCAGUCCCGUGUGAAAUCCCUCGGCUCAACUGAGGAACUGCACGGGAAACUGCCUGGCUUGAGUUCGGGAGAGGGAAGCGGAAUUCCGGGUGUAGCGGUGAAAUGCGUAGAUAUCCGGAGGAACACCGGUGGCGAAGGCGGCUUCCUGGACCGACACUGACGCUGAGGCGCGAAAGCUAGGGGAGCAAACGGG